RNAcentral lists this long non-coding RNA (285 nucleotides) under Nicotiana benthamiana. RNAcentral's name for it is "long non-coding RNA (NBEN_LNC033733)". Lineage: Eukaryota; Viridiplantae; Streptophyta; Magnoliopsida; Solanales; Solanaceae. The record is from RNAcentral.
AUAUAUAGUUUAUGAACUAUUUGCUUAUGAAUUCUCAUCGUAUUGUGCUUGUGGCAGAGUGAUCAACUUCAGGUUGUCAUAUCUCUUCUUUAAGGCAUUCCACAAGAUAGGUGGAUCUUUGACUGUGAUAUAUUCAAUUUUCAAACCUUCAUCAAGGUGAUGGCUCAAGUAAAUCAAGGCCUUAGCACAGUUUCAAACCUUCAUCAAGGCGAUGGCGCAAGAUAUCAAGGCCUUAGCAUAGUCUUGGGUGGAUGCAUUAUUUCUGUCUUUAAUGGCGUCUCCAAN